AUGGUGAAUCUCACUCUCCGUGUGCUUUCGCGGCCCGAUAGGGAACGACUUCCAACUUUUGUGCAUAAUCUUGGAUUGGAGUAUGAUGAGAAGGUGCUUCCGUCGAUUAGGAAUGAGGUGUUGAAAGCAAUUGUUACACAGUUUAAUGCGGAUCAGCUGCUUACAGAUCAGCCGCAGGUUUCAGCGCUGGUUAGGGAUAGUCUUGUGAGAAGGGCGAAGGAUUUUAAUUUUCUUCUUGAUGAUGUUGCUAUUACUCACUUGUCUUAUGGUGCUGGGACUGAUGUGAGAGAGUGA
Molecule: non-coding RNA, 294 nt
Organism: Vicia faba (fava bean)
Lineage: Eukaryota; Viridiplantae; Streptophyta; Magnoliopsida; Fabales; Fabaceae
Source: the annotation of a GenBank genome assembly